Molecule: RNA transcript, 1008 nt
Organism: Sceloporus undulatus (fence lizard)
Lineage: Eukaryota; Metazoa; Chordata; Lepidosauria; Squamata; Phrynosomatidae
Gene name: C-C motif chemokine 4 homolog
Exons: 3
Source: RefSeq, a predicted model, not a curated record
GUGGCGCCCUUAGAGAGUGCAACUACAAUUCCCAUCACCCUCAACCAACCCACAGGCCCAUGGCCCUGGAGGAAGGAUCAAGGAUUCUGGGCAUUUCCAGAAAGGGGCUUCAGGGGGCCAAGGGCGCAGACAGGCUGCAGGGAGGCCUCCCCCAACCUCUCCAUGGUCUGGGGAUGAUGGAAAGUGUCCUCCAACCCCCCCCCACCAUGCUGUGCCUUAAGCAGCGGGUCCCAGCUCUCCCAGGGAUUGUUGCUUUGCCUAUUGGGACAAAAGACCUCUUCGCAUUAGGAACAUAGCCUCUUACUACUCGACUGACUCUGAAUGCAACCUGAAGGCAAUUGUGUUUGUUAUGAAGAACGGCAAGCAGAUCUGCGUGAAUUCAGCUGAGACUUGGGUUCAAAGGGCACUGCCCAAUUUGAAUGAAAUGAAGUAGGAAGAAUUGCGGAGAAACAGAGGCCACAAAAGAAGACGCUGAGAAGCAAGACAAACUCCACAUUUCAAGAGCACUGAAGACCAUUUAAUGGCUAUGUUUUUCUGCGCUUCCUCAAAGUACUCUAGCAAUUGUAGUUGGCAGAUUGCUUAAGUCUCUUCCAGCUCUUAUGAUUCUGUAUCUUCCUUCGUAGCAGAUACAGUUCCUAGUAUCCCUUACCUGGAAAUCCUUUAGUUCUAUGCUUUUAGUUUAAAGUAAAGAAUUAAUGUCAGAGUCUAUGAUGUAUGUCUGCACUCCAACCCUAUGGCCUUUCCAAAUGUAACUUGCAUUCGUAAAGCACACUGACACCAGCAAGACUGCAUAGGAAAGUGCCAAGAUCAACUGACAAACUGGUUGUGUGUAUUUAUUGCUGUCAUGUCUAUCCAUGCUUGCUUGGCACUCCAAUCCCCAGAAUUCCCUGGGAUGGGGGAUUCUGGGAUGUGUAGUCUAAGGAUGCAUCCAUGCUGAGUUAAUAUAUUUUGUUUUGAAGAGUAUAAGUUGAAACAAUAACUACAAUAAAUAGAUAAAGAAAGCUACUA